This 433-nucleotide ribosomal RNA is filed under the name uncultured bacterium. RNAcentral describes it as "partial 16S ribosomal RNA". It matches the Rfam family "Bacterial small subunit ribosomal RNA", at positions 29 to 507 of the family's 1533-position model. The record is from RNAcentral.
AACGAACGCUGGCGGCAUGCCUAACACAUGCAAGUCGAACGAGACCUUCGGGUCUAGUGGCGCACGGGUGCGUAACGCGUGGGAACCUGCCUUUAGGUUCGGAAUAACUCAGAGACAUUUGAGCUAAUACCGGAUGAUGUCUUCGGACCAAAGAUUUAUCGCCUUUAGAUGGGCCCGCGUUGGAUUAGCUAGUUGGUGGGGUAAAGGCCUACCACGGCGACGAUCCAUAGCUGGUCUGAGAGGAUGAUCAGCCACACUGGGACUGAGACACGGCCCAGACUCCUACGGGAGGCAGGAGUGGGGAAUAGUGGAAAAUGGGCGAAAGGCUGAUCCAGCAAUGCCGCGUGAGUGAUGAAGGCCUUAGGGUUGUAAAGCUCUUUUACCCGAGAUGAUAAUGACAGUAUCGGGAGAAUAAGCUCCGGCUAACUCCGUG